CCCUUAGAUGUUCUGGGCCGCACGCGCGCUACACUGACGAAUGCAACGAGCUUAUAACCUUGGCCGAAAGGUCUGGGUAAUCUCCAAAUUUCGUCGUGAUGGGGAUAGAUUAUUGCAAUUAUUAAUCUUCAACGAGGAAUGCCUAGUAAGCGCAAGUCAUCAGCUUGCGUUGAUUACGUCCCUGCCCUUUGUACACACCGCCCGUCGCUCCUACCGAUUGAAUGGUCCGGUGAAGCGUUCGGACCGUGGCCUUUGGACGGUUCGCCGUCUGUUGGCUGCGGGAAGUUCGUUAAACCUUAUCGUUUAGAGGAAGGAGAANUCGUAACA
Molecule: ribosomal RNA, 327 nt
Filed under: uncultured eukaryote
Lineage: Eukaryota
Description: partial 18S ribosomal RNA
Rfam family: Eukaryotic small subunit ribosomal RNA
Source: RNAcentral